Molecule: ribosomal RNA, 833 nt
Filed under: Priestia endophytica
Lineage: Bacteria; Bacillati; Bacillota; Bacilli; Caryophanales; Bacillaceae
Description: bacterial SSU rRNA
Rfam family: Bacterial small subunit ribosomal RNA
Source: RNAcentral
UCGAGCGGAGUUUUGAAAGCUUGCUUUUCMMWCUUUGCGGCGGACGGGUGAGUAACACGUGGGCAACCUGCCCUUGAGACGGGGAUAACUCCGGGAAACCGGAGCUAAUACCGGAUAACACAUAUCUUCGCAUGAGGAUAUGUUAGAAGGUGGCUUUUAGCUACCACUCAAGGAUGGGCCCGCGGCGCAUUAGCUAGUUGGUGAGGUAACGGCUCACCAAGGCGACGAUGCGUAGCCGACCUGAGAGGGUGAUCGGCCACACUGGGACUGAGACACGGCCCAGACUCCUACGGGAGGCAGCAGUAGGGAAUCUUCCGCAAUGGACGAAAGUCUGACGGAGCAACGCCGCGUGAGUGAUGAAGGUUUUCGGAUCGUAAAGCUCUGUUGUUAGGGAAGAACAAGUAUCUGUUGAAUAAGCAGGUACCUUGACGGUACCUAACCAGAAAGCCACGGCUAACUACGUGCCAGCAGCCGCGGUAAUACGUAGGUGGCAAGCGUUGUCCGGAAUUAUUGGGCGUAAAGCGCGCGCAGGCGGUUCCUUAAGUCUGAUGUGAAAGCCCACGGCUCAACCGUGGAGGGUCAUUGGAAACUGGGGAACUUGAGUGCAGAAGAGGAGAGCGGAAUUCCACGUGUAGCGGUGAAAUGCGUAGAGAUGUGGAGGAACACCAGUGGCGAAGGCGGCUCUCUGGUCUGUAACUGACGCUGAGGCGCGAAAGCGUGGGGAGCGAACAGGAUUAGAUACCCUGGUAGUCCACGCCGUAAACGAUGAGUGCUAAGUGUUAGAGGGUUUCCGCCCUUUAGUGCUGCAGCAAACGCAUUAAGCACUCCGCCUG